UUCCGGUUGAUCCUGCCGGACCUUACUGCUAUCGGGGUGGGACUAAGACAUGCGAGUCGAGCGUCUCUAGCUAUGUUGAGACGCGGCAGACGGCUCAGUAACACGUGGCUAACCUACCCUCAGGACGAGGAUAAACCCGGGAAACUGGGGCUAAUACUCGAUAGGUGAGAAUGUCUGGAAUGAUUUCUCAUUCAAAGGGCUUUAGAAACAUGCUUCUAAAGUCGCCUGGGGAUGGGGCCGCGUCCGAUCAGGUUGUUGGUGAGGUAACGGCUCACCAAGCCUAUAACCGGUACGGGCCGUGAGAGCGGUAGCCCGGAGAUGGGUACUGAGACAAGGACCCAGGCCCUACGGGGCGCAGCAGUCGCGAAAACUCCGCAAUGCACGAAAGUGUGACGGGGCUACCCCGAGUGCCAUCCGCUGAGGAUGGCUUUUCUUUGGUGUAACUAGCCGGGGGAAUAAGGAGAGGGCAAGACUGGUGUCAGCCGCCGCGGUAAUACCAGCUCUCCGAGUGGUAGGGAUGAUUAUUGGGCUUAAAGCGUCCGUAGCCGGCUUAGCAAGUCUCCUGUUAAAUUCAGCGACCUAAUCGUUGAGCCGCGGGAGAUACUACUAGGCUAGGAGGCGGGAGAGGUCGACGGUACUUCUGGGGUAGGGGUGAAAUCCUAUAAUCCCGGGAGGACCACCAGUGGCGAAGGCUGUUGACUAGAACGCGCUCGACGGUGAGGGACGAAAGCUGGGGGAGCGAACCGGAUUAGAUACCCGGGUAGUCCCAGCCGUAAACGAUGCGGGCUAGGUGUUGGGGUGGCUACGUGCCACUUCAGUGCCGCAGGGAAGCCAUUAAGCCCGCCGCCUGGGAGUACGGCCGCAGGCUGAAACUUAAAGAAUUGUCGGGGGAGCACCACAGGCGUGAAGCUUGCGGUCAUUGAAAUCAACGCGGUA
This 936-nucleotide ribosomal RNA is filed under the name uncultured archaeon. RNAcentral's name for it is "bacterial SSU rRNA". It matches the Rfam family "Archaeal small subunit ribosomal RNA", at positions 1 to 923 of the family's 1478-position model. The record is from RNAcentral.